UACGGGGGGAGCAAGCGUUGUUCGGAUUCAUUGGGCGUAAAGGGUGCGUAGGCGGCUUGGCAAGUCUGACGUGAAAUGUACCGGUUCAACCGGGGCGCUGUGUCAGAAACUGCCUUGCUAGAGGUCGAGGGAGGAGAGUGGAAUUCCUGGUGUAGCGGUGAAAUGCGUAGAUACCAGGAGGAACACCCGUGGCGUAGGCGACUCUCUAUCUCGAUUCUGACGCUGAGGCACGAAAGCUAGGGGAGCAAACGGG
This 253-nucleotide ribosomal RNA is filed under the name uncultured bacterium. RNAcentral's name for it is "partial 16S ribosomal RNA". It matches the Rfam family "Bacterial small subunit ribosomal RNA", at positions 524 to 776 of the family's 1533-position model. The record is from RNAcentral.